AGCGAACGCUGGCGGCAGGCCUAACACAUGCAAGUCGAACGAACUCUUCGGAGUUAGUGGCGGACGGGUGAGUAACACGUGGGAACGUGCCUUUAGGUUCGGAAUAACUCAGGGAAACUUGUGCUAAUACCGAAUGUGCCCUUCGGGGGAAAGAUUUAUCGCCUUUAGAGCGGCCCGCGUCUGAUUAGCUAGUUGGUGAGGUAAAGGCUCACCAAGGCGACGAUCAGUAGCUGGUCUGAGAGGAUGAUCAGCCACAUUGGGACUGAGACACGGCCCAAACUCUUACGGGAGGCAGCAGUGGGGAAUCUUGCGCAAUGGGCGAAAGCCUGACGCAGCCAUGCCGCGUGAAUGAUGAAGGUCUUAGGAUUGUAAAAUUCUUUCACCGGGGACGAUAAUGACGGUACCCGGAGAAGAAGCCCCGGCUAACUUCGUG
This 433-nucleotide ribosomal RNA is filed under the name uncultured bacterium. Its description in RNAcentral is "partial 16S ribosomal RNA". It matches the Rfam family "Bacterial small subunit ribosomal RNA", at positions 29 to 507 of the family's 1533-position model. The record is from RNAcentral.